UGAUAAUGGGUAAAGACUCGGCUGUUGACACAUGCUAUCAUUCCUACACCUGUAAAGCUAAGA
RNAcentral lists this small RNA (63 nucleotides) under Salix viminalis (osier). Lineage: Eukaryota; Viridiplantae; Streptophyta; Magnoliopsida; Malpighiales; Salicaceae. The record is from RNAcentral.